RNAcentral lists this ribosomal RNA (822 nucleotides) under Triticum aestivum (bread wheat). Its description in RNAcentral is "partial small subunit ribosomal RNA". The record is from RNAcentral. Lineage: Eukaryota; Viridiplantae; Streptophyta; Magnoliopsida; Poales; Poaceae.
AUGGGGUUCAUCGCCAUCGGCGGCGAGGAGCUCUUGGUGACGCUUGCGCCGGUGGCCGUGUACUGGCUCUACUCCGGGAUGUACGAGGUGCUGGGGAGCAGCAAGGCCCUGGCCAAGUACAGGCUUCACUCGAGGAGGGACGAGGAGACCAAGAACAUGGCGUCCAAGAGGGACGUGGUCAAGGGCGUGCUCCUGCAGCAGGCCAUCCAGGCUGCCAUCUCAGUUGCUGUGCUCAAGCUGACAGGCGGUGAGCAAGACGGCGGCAUCGACCCCAAGUCCGGCGGUCGGAGCCAGCCGUCGACGGCGGCGGCGUCGUUCCUGGACACGGCCGCGAGGUUCGCCGUGGCCAUGGUGGUGCUGGACGCGUGGCAGUACUUCAUGCACCGGGUGAUGCACUCGAGCCGGUACAUGUACCGGCGGUUCCACUCGUGGCACCACCGCGUUGUGGCGCCCUACGCGUUCGCGGCGCAGUACAACCACCCGGUGGACGGCGUGCUCACGGAGACGCUGUCGGGCGCGGCCGCCUUCCUGGCCUCCGGGAUGGGCCCGCGCGCCGCCGCGGCCUUCUUCAUGUUCGCCACCGUGAAGGGGAUAGACGACCACUGCGGGGUGCUGGUGCCGUGGAACCCGCUCCACGCCGUCUUCCGUGACAACAACACGGCGUACCACGACGUGCACCACCAGCUCGGCGGCGGCCGCCGCAACUUCUCGCAGCCCUUCUUCGUGAUCUGGGACCGGCUGUUGGGCACGUACGCGGGCUACACCGUGGAGGAGCGCCAUGGUGGCGGCCUCCAGGUCAAGAUCAUUAAAGAUCACGCAUAG